GAUGAAGAACGCAGCGAAAUGCGAUAAGUAAUGUGAAUUGCAGAAUUCAGUGAAUCAUCGAAUCUUUGAACGCACAUUGCGCCCGCCAGUAUUCUGGCGGGCAUGCCUGUUCGAGCGUCAUUUCAACCCUCAAGCACCUUCGGGAGCUUGGUGUUGGGGAUCGGCAGGGCGUCCUCCGGGUCGCGCCGUCCCCCAAAUCUAGUGGCGGUCUCGCUGUAGCUUCCUCUGCGUAGUAAUACACCUCGCUCUGGAGUCUCGGUGCGGCCACGCCGUAAAACCCCCAACUUUUUUCUGGUUGACCUCGAAUCAGGUAGGACUACCCGCUGAACUUAAGCAUAUCAAUAAGCGGAGGA
Molecule: unclassified non-coding RNA, 353 nt
Filed under: soil metagenome
Description: partial contains 5.8S ribosomal RNA, internal transcribed spacer 2, and large subunit ribosomal RNA
Rfam family: 5.8S ribosomal RNA (bases 1-120)
Source: RNAcentral